Molecule: non-coding RNA, 2328 nt
Organism: Punica granatum (pomegranate)
Lineage: Eukaryota; Viridiplantae; Streptophyta; Magnoliopsida; Myrtales; Lythraceae
Source: RefSeq, a predicted model, not a curated record
GAUUAGGUCCUUCAGUGAAAAAAUAUUAAAUUUGAGGGAUCCCCCCUCAAAAUCUCUGUCCUAACCGGCCACGCCUUCCUCCCUCUGCAGCUCUGCUGACGCUUCAUGCCCCCUCCUCCAUUGAUCCUCAAACCGCCAUUUCUGCAACACCGGGAAGAAGCUCGGAAGGAUCACUGCCAUUGCAUUCUUCCUCCUUUUGGCCGUCGAAGGCGUUUCCACGAAGUCAGUUGUAGUAACUUUCCUUCCUUUCUGCUCUGCCCUUCAACUCAUGUUCACCCAUUCAAGCUGUAAUGCAGAUUUGUCUUUCAGUUUUCAUGAAAUGCUGUGCGUUCUUCCUGUAGCUUAAGGUUUCCUGUAGCUCUGUGGUCUUAUGUUUUGGAGGAAAUGAGCUCAGCUGCUCGAUAUGAGCGUGUUUGGUGCUCUAUCCCGGUGCUCGGUUUUCUUCUCUUGAUAUGUAUAUCUCCGACGACUGUCAACGGCUUCUUUCGAUGGAAUAUUCCAGCGAUGAGGCCAACCUUCGUUGUAAUAUCUAUACACGAAACAGAAAAGAGCUUCAUUUCUUCCUUCUCUUGCCUUCCUUGAACAUUUCAUUUGCUAGCAUCUCUCUGUUAAGUGGAGACCGGAGUAUGAGGUCUUAGCGUCCUUCACAUUAUCCAUCUUUCUAAACUUUAACCCAUUCAGAAUGAUCUUCAGUGAUGCAGGUGAAGCAAAUUUUCUAUAUUCUAUUGGAUCAACAUGUUUUAGUUGCUUUUUGCACAGGCGACAGUUCUUAAACCAUGAAUCGAGCAGACAUGGAUGUAGACAUGGCAGAGGAUGGCGAGAAGUUUGUUUGGCCUUGGACAGGAAUCCUGGUGAAUAUAACCAUCAGAAGGGUGAGAAAUGGGCAAUAUGUCGGGAUGAGUGGACGGGAACUGAAAAAUGAACUUAUGAGGAGAGGUUUUGAUCCUGUGAGAGUUCGUCCUCUGUGGAACAAGCAGGGCCACUCUGGAAAUGCGGUGGUGGAAUUUAAGAGAGGUUGGGUUGGUUUUCAUGAUGCCUUGUUGUUCGCGAGGGCUUACGAAGCAGACAGUCAUGGACGCUGGGAUUGGUACGCUAGUAAUGAAACAGAUGCUGGGCUUUAUGCUUGGAUUGCCCGUGAGAGUGACUACAAUUCCUAUGGUAUCGUUGGGGAGUAUCUGACCAAGGCUGGAGAUCUUAAAACAGUUUCGGAAUUUAUGGAGGAAGAGGCUCGAAAGCAUGAUAUACUCGUAUCACAUCUUAAAAGAGUAAUAGAGCUCAAGGAUAAGCACUUACAGGAGAUGCAAGAAAAAAACGACCAAGUUUCAUGGGCUGUUCACCAAUUUACUGUCCUGAAAGAAAAGCUCAAUGCAGCAAUAGAUAACAUACGGAUGGCUACGGAAGAUCAGUUGCAGAGAGUGCUCAACAGCCAUGAAAAGUUCAAGUUGUGCAUGGAAUCUCAGGCAAAGGAGCUUGAGUUGUCUGAGUUUGAGCUAAAGGAGCGUCAGGCCCGGAUUGAUAGAGAAACAAACAACGUUGUAAAAGGGACCCAAAGGAAGAAUUCCAUACAAGAUUGUUCAUUCCAAUCUUUGGACUGGCCCAGAGCUGAUCAAAAUGUAGCCACACUGGCGAAGGAUCAGGUUGAGGACAGAGGAGAACCGGAGUUGGAAAUCGAACAGUUGGGAUGGAAACUCAGAGUAAAGAGAAGGAGGCGUUCGGUGUCUGAAGAAUGCACAGACAAGGAAGGAAGCCAUACGAGCAUACAAAUACUUCAAUCUCCUGUACUUAAGGAGCCUGAGGAACAUGUUAUACUUCAUGAAGCUUGCCAAGACUUAAUUAAGGUAAUGGAAAAAGCAGCCAAUAGUUCUUGGAUAGGUACCAUGAAAAAUGAAGAUGUCAAAACAAGACCAGUCCCUGAAGUAUUAGAGCUGAAGUAUAAUGAAGAACACGAAGCAGAGAGGAAACUUUCAGCACUGUGCUACUUGUGGAAGGAAUAUUUGAAUAAUACAGCCUUGAAGCCUUUCCCAUUGACAUCGAAUGAAGGAAUGCAUUCGGUAUGCUCAUCAUAGAUGCCUUGCUGUAAUUUAUACCCGAAUUAGUUCCUCUAUUAAAGCAGUCUAGUGUGAUCAAUUUCACUCGAGACGGACCCUCAAGAUGGAAGUGCCCUCUUAAGAGGUUGGCAGCGCUUAACCUUCCGUGCGGAUUGAGGUAAUGAAAAAAGUAGCCAAUGGUUCUUGGAUAGGUCCUGAGACAAAUGGAGAUGUCGAAACAAGACUGGUUUCUGAAGUACUGGAGCUAAAGUGUAGUGAAGAACAAGAGGCAGAGAGGAAA